UUUGAACCCAGGAGGUGGAGGUUACAGUGAGCCGAGACUGCGCCAUUGCACUCCAGCCUGGGCGACAGAGUGAGACUCCGUCUCAAAAAAAAAAAAAAGAACCAAGGAGCAGUUCCUAGUGGUCUAGCCCAGCGAUUUCCCUUCUGGAAGUUUGUGAUGACGCGGGAGGAGCUGGACGCAGAAGGACCAGCGAAGAGGCUCAUGACUGCGUGAUGUAGGCAGUGGGAACUCGAACAGGAGAAUGGCUGUCAGCGGCUUGCGGCCUGGUGGUGCCUGUUUUACCCCACAUUCCCUCCCGGAGGACCCUGAAGGGCGUGGGGACUGUCUGAGAUGAUCAAGCCCUUUGUGUGAGGGCGAGGGGUACGGAGCCUUUCGCUCAGAGCGCAAACGUGCGUGGUGCCUCAGUGUAGCUCUCCUCAGACACACACGGCAUUUUUCCUAUACCACAACGUUCCCUCCCAUUCUAACAUCGGAAUCCAAACUGCGCCUUCACGCACGGGCAUCUCCAUUCCCUGGCAGCGAUUGUCUUUGGUUUUGCAAGAGCCCCGGCCCAUGCCACUCACCGCGGAGCAGCUCCAGCAGGCUGCCCUUGGCCAUGAGCUCCGUGAUGAUGUACACGGGGUCCCCCACGGACACCACGGCGUACAGCGCCAGGAUGUGUUUGUGCCGCAGCUUCUUCAUGGCCUGGAUCUCCGACUGCAGCAUCUGCUGGUGCAGGAGGUUGUCUGCGGGGACGGGUGGCCUCGGUGGAUGCAGCCCCUGACCCCCCAGGCCCCAAGGAAGAGGCCA
This 789-nucleotide long non-coding RNA is filed under the name Homo sapiens (human). RNAcentral describes it as "long non-coding RNA NONHSAT080900.2". Lineage: Eukaryota; Metazoa; Chordata; Mammalia; Primates; Hominidae. The record is from RNAcentral.